GACGAACGCUGGCGGCGUGCUUAACACAUGCAAGUCGAGCGGUAAGGCCCUUUCGGGGGUACACGAGCGGCGAACGGGUGAGUAACACGUGGGUGACCUGCCCUCAGCUCUGGGAUAAGCCUGGGAAACCGGGUCUAAUACCGGAUAUGACUCCGCGGUGCAUGCUGUGGGGUGGAAAGCCUUGUGCGGCUGGAGAUGGGCCCGCGGCCUAUCAGCUUGUUGGUGGGGUGANGGCCUACCAAGGCGACGACGGGUAGCCGGCCUGAGAGGGCGACCGGCCACACUGGGACUGAGACACGGCCCAGACUCCUACGGGAGGCAGCAGUGGGGAAUCUUGCGCAAUGGGCGAAAGCCUGACGCAGCGACGCCGCGUGAGGGAUGACGGCCU
This 388-nucleotide ribosomal RNA is filed under the name uncultured bacterium. RNAcentral's name for it is "bacterial SSU rRNA". It matches the Rfam family "Bacterial small subunit ribosomal RNA", at positions 28 to 417 of the family's 1533-position model. The record is from RNAcentral.